This 325-nucleotide unclassified non-coding RNA is filed under the name Hevea brasiliensis (rubber tree). Lineage: Eukaryota; Viridiplantae; Streptophyta; Magnoliopsida; Malpighiales; Euphorbiaceae. The record is from RNAcentral.
UCCACUGCUUACCUUCCAUUUAGUUCAUGACGUGAAGCAUCAAAUAUAGAUACACUUCCAUCCACAAAGGUGGCAUACACCAUUUGGCUAUCACAUGAGAAAGUUGCUUGGGAGAUUGGCACAAGAUCUCCUCGAACCCACCGCUUUAAACAUUCUAAAUCUCUGGCUUCAUAAAUUGAGAGACAACUCUCAUGUACAACAAGGAAGCGUGUUUGAUCCUGAUGAAACUGGACAUGGGUGUCCAAUAAUGCUUCAUGCUUUUUCUCGUCAGGAAUCUGUAAGAAUCCGCUUCUGUGUUUUUCCCACCCUUUAACGUUCCACACCA